UUUUUUUUACAGAACUAUGGAUAACAAUUGCUAUAAGAAGUCAGCAGAAGUCAUAGUAUGCACAGAUACAAGCUUGGCAAUACCAAGAAGUCUUACAAAAUGCAGAAGGAC
Molecule: non-coding RNA, 111 nt
Filed under: Myroides sp. A21
Lineage: Bacteria; Pseudomonadati; Bacteroidota; Flavobacteriia; Flavobacteriales; Flavobacteriaceae
Source: RNAcentral